GUCUUGGUAGCUCAGAUGGAAGAGCAUUUGGCUAGCGACCCGGUGGUCGUGGGUUCAAGUCACACCUAAGACA
Non-coding RNA from Cydia strobilella, 73 nucleotides. The record is from the annotation of a RefSeq genome assembly. Lineage: Eukaryota; Metazoa; Arthropoda; Insecta; Lepidoptera; Tortricidae.